Molecule: transfer RNA, 77 nt
Filed under: Candidatus Moranbacteria bacterium RIFCSPLOWO2_02_FULL_48_19
Lineage: Bacteria; Candidatus Moraniibacteriota
Also listed under: 1 other name
Description: tRNA-Val
Rfam family: tRNA
About the family: Transfer RNA (tRNA) molecules are approximately 80 nucleotides in length. Their secondary structure includes four short double-helical elements and three loops (D, anti-codon, and T loops).
Source: RNAcentral
GGACAAUUAGCUCAGUUGGUUAGAGCGUCACAUUGACAUUGUGAAGGUCACUGGUUCGAAUCCAGUAUUGUCCACAA